Molecule: ribosomal RNA, 301 nt
Filed under: uncultured bacterium
Lineage: Bacteria
Description: partial 16S ribosomal RNA
Rfam family: Bacterial small subunit ribosomal RNA
Source: RNAcentral
CAGCCGCCGCGGUAAUACGAAGGGUGCAAGCGUUACUCGGACUUACUGGGCGUAAAGCGUGCGUAGGCGGCUUCUUAAGUCGGAUGUGAAAUCCCUGAGCUUAACUUAGGAAUUGCAUUCGAUACUGGGAAGCUAGAGUAUGGGAGAGGAUGGUAGAAUUCCAGGUGUAGCGGUGAAAUGCGUAGAGAUCUGGAGGAAUACCGAUGGCGAAGGCAGCCAUCUGGCCUAAUACUGACGCUGAGGUACGAAAGCAUGGGGAGCAAACAGGAUUAGAUACCCCGGUAGUCCCUGUCUCUUAUAA